Chelonia mydas (Green sea turtle) is the source of this 2273-nucleotide long non-coding RNA. RefSeq lists it as uncharacterized. Lineage: Eukaryota; Metazoa; Chordata; Testudines; Cheloniidae. The record is from RefSeq and is a predicted model, not a curated record. The transcript is spliced from 3 exons.
GUACUGCCCGGGCAGGGUUGUCACGAAGGAGCUGAAGUCAGUGGGAGCUGCAGGGGCUCUGCAGCACUCCCAUCACUCCCUCAUUGAAAGCUCUUCUACUGCCUGGGGAUUUGGAGACUCGCUGUUGCUGAUUUAGCUACACCUAGACUUUAGCUGGCCCGGAAUGAACCCCUGAUUCUCCCAUCUCUAGCCCACUUGGCCAUCCUGCACUUCUCCAGCGUGCCUCUCUCUGGUCCAGUUCCACGCUCACUCCGCGCUCAAGAGAUGGUGCAACACCACAAAUUGGCGUCCAUCACUGUCUGGCACCAAGUGUGCACAUUUACACACCAGUAGCUCCACUGGAGUCAAGGGGCCUACGCCAUUCGACACCAGCUAAGGAUCUGGCCCCUUCAUUGUGUUAGUUCUUGGAACAGGGACCAGAGUGUCUUCUUGUGCAUUUGGAUGGUGCCCAUCACAACAGGGCCACAAUGCAGACUGGGGGCUCCCCUAACGUAAAUAAUCCUAAUAAUAAGCAGAUACAGGGAAUUAAUUCAGGGUGAGCAUCAGGCAUCCUGCAGGAAUGAGCCAGCCAGAGACUUCAGCAGCGAAGGGCAGCUACAGAAGCACCCAAAGCAUGGACUGCAGCCCUGGGAAGGAGGGGGUAUUUGGGGCUCCACUGGGGUUACCCCUCCACCCACCAUCUGCCUGGACCGGCACUGUGUAGAGAAGACCCCCACACAAACACUCCAGGGCUACUAGGGCCCAGCUGGUGCCUCCAACCCUCUCCUUGCCAUAUGGACCCGGCAGGGAGGAACAGGCCAGCCCGUGGGAGCAGACUGCAGAAACAGACCAAGCAGGGACUUUCAGACAGCUGGAGAAAUGCGGACACGGUGAACGGAACUUCCUCUGUCCUGUACGGAUUAGCUGGUUGCUCAAACCCUCUCCUGCCCCCUCCCUCUCCUCAGCUUCACCCCACCCGUGCCCCACUGACUCCCUCCUCCCCUUCCCUUCAGUGUCCCCUCUCCCUGCCCGUUUCCUCCAUUCAGCUGAUCCCUGCCUAACUAAACCCACCCCCAAAAACUCACAGACCUGGCAUGGCAUUUGCUGCCAUCCCAUUGUUCACUCUGCCCGUGUGUUCUACCCCUUCUCCACCCUGGGUCUGUCUGGUCUAGUUAGACCGUAAGCUCUUCAGGGCAGGCACCGUCUGCUGCUUGGUGUUUGUACCACACCUAGCACAAUGGGGCCCCGUUCUCGGCUGGCCCGUAGGCACUGCCAUGUUAAACAUUAAUAGGAAUAACGCUACUCACUGGAGAGACUCCCAUGGACUGCAAUGGGCUUUGGAGCAGCAUUUGAGCCCAAAGGCAGGAUGUCUGGGUAUUUCAGCAUUUAGACCAAUGCCAGCUAAUCUAUGCAGCACGCGGGGAGAGCUGGCAGAGCUUUGGGAGGAAAGAAAUCCCACCGUACUGAACAGGGCACAGACAUCCCCAGCAGUGGGGAGGCUGCAAUCAACACAUGCAGCAUUGCUCUUUUGAGUUUCAAAGCUAAAGUCCCUCUGUUCCACCGCUCCCCUCGCUGUCCUGACCAGGACCAUCUGGCGGAUGGAAAUGUACCAUAUUAGAGACAUAUGCAUGAAGGCAAAAUAUCCACCCAGCUCUUCCUUGAGGAACUGCUGUCACAAAGUGGAUUUCUGAGGCAAUUGCACCAGACUCAGAGCUUCUAAGCACAGCAGUGCAUGGCAUUUGCAAGGAGCAUCUCAAUCCCUUAGCACAAUGCCAGGAUACACCUCACCCCAGCAAGCCCUCUCAAAGCCACAGGGGCCCAGCAAGUAGGCAGCCUGGUCAUGUCGGCUGAAAACUUCUUGAACAGAUGCAGUUGGUAGUGUGCACACCUUGGUACUGCUAUCUGGGCCACCCAGCAGCCUUCGGUCUAGGGCAGCACUUCGGAUCCCAGCAGUUUUGGGGAGAGUGCAAAAAAACACCAACAAUGAGGCAAAGCCACAGUAUGUUUCACUGUUUAAAAAGCCCGCUGGGGACAACAGGAUAAUUCACUGCCAAGGCAUUCAUUUGUUUAUUUAUUAUUAAUAUUUAGCACAGCUGCGUCCAUGCUGUGUCUAAGGUAAUUAUCGUGUGUAGACAAACCCAGCACAUACAGGACACUCCACAUGUAUGUCAGCAUGCGAUGCAGUCUGUGGGCAUCUGCCAGAAUUGCAGUUCUCCCAGCUUUUGUGAAACACCGGAGGCAUCAAAACCUGGCCCAUCUGAAGGACAUGUUGGCAGCUUGGCAAAAGCCAGAGA